AGUGCAGGCAACUUGAACUCACAAGAAAGAAAUCAUAAAGUGACUUCUCUCUAUAAAAAGGGGAAGACUUGUGGAAAAGACACCAUUUUUGUGCCUGGCUCAGUGAAAGCUAGAAAGCAAAUCUCUUCACACUCCUUGAGAGAGAAGGUUGUGUCCAGACUUGAAAAUUAAGAUUUAGAAAGUCCCACGGCCUGUCUGAGCUUUACACUGGGAGGAAUACGA
This 222-nucleotide long non-coding RNA is filed under the name Phasianus colchicus (ring-necked pheasant). RNAcentral describes it as "lncRNA (ENSPCLG00000003680.1)". The record is from RNAcentral. Lineage: Eukaryota; Metazoa; Chordata; Aves; Galliformes; Phasianidae.